This 411-nucleotide ribosomal RNA is filed under the name uncultured archaeon. RNAcentral's name for it is "partial 16S ribosomal RNA". It matches the Rfam family "Archaeal small subunit ribosomal RNA", at positions 739 to 1147 of the family's 1478-position model. The record is from RNAcentral.
GGGUAGUCCCAGCUGUAAACGAUGCAGACUCGGUGAUGCAUUGGCUUGUGGCCUAUGCAGUGCCGCAGGGAAGCCGUUAAGUCUGCCGCCUGGGAAGUACGUACGCAAGUAUGAAACUUAAAGGAAUUGGCGGGGGAGCACCACAAGGGGUGANNNNUGCGGUUCAAUUGGAGUCAACGCCAGAAAUCUUACCUGGGNANACAGCAGAAUGAAGGUCAANNNGAAGACUUUACCANNNANNNNNNGAGGUGGUGCAUGGCCGUCGCCAGCUCGUGCCGUGAGAUGUCCUGUUAAGUCAGGUAACGAGCGAGACCCCUGCGUCUAGUUGCUACCAUUACUCUCUGGAGCAGUGGAGCGAAUUAGACGGACCGCCACAGUUAAUGUGGAGGAAGGAAGGGGCCACGGCAGGUC